This 250-nucleotide ribosomal RNA is filed under the name uncultured bacterium. RNAcentral's name for it is "partial 16S ribosomal RNA". It matches the Rfam family "Bacterial small subunit ribosomal RNA", at positions 524 to 776 of the family's 1533-position model. The record is from RNAcentral.
UACAGAGGUCUCAACCGUUGUUCGGAUUCAUUGGGCGUAAAGGGUGCGUAGGCGGUCGUGCAAGUCGGAUGUGAAAUCUCAGGGCUCAACCCCAAUGACUGCAUUCGAUACUGGCGUGCUUGAGGAGUCUGGAGAGGAGACUGGAAUUUACGGUGUAGCAGUGAAAUGCGUAGAUAUCGUAAGGAAGACCAGUGGCGAAGGCGGUCUCUGGACAGUCACUGAGAGCACGAAGGCCAGGGGAGCAAACGGG